RNAcentral lists this ribosomal RNA (429 nucleotides) under Gemmatimonadota bacterium. RNAcentral describes it as "Gemmatimonadetes bacterium partial 16S ribosomal RNA". It matches the Rfam family "Bacterial small subunit ribosomal RNA", at positions 355 to 776 of the family's 1533-position model. The record is from RNAcentral. Lineage: Bacteria; Pseudomonadati; Gemmatimonadota.
UAGGGAAUCUUCGGAAAUGGACGAAAGUCUGACCGAGCAACGCCGCGUGAGUGAAGAAGGUUUUCGGAUCGUAAAACUCUGUUGUUAGAGAAGAACAAGGACGUUAGUAACUGAACGUCCCCUGACGGUAUCUAACCAGAAAGCCACGGCUAACUACGUGCCAGCAGCCGCGGUAAUACGUAGGUGGCAAGCGUUGUCCGGAUUUAUUGGGCGUAAAGCGAGCGCAGGCGGUUUCUUAAGUCUGAUGUGAAAGCCCCCGGCUCAACCGGGGAGGGUCAUUGGAAACUGGGAGACUUGAGUGCAGAAGAGGAGAGUGGAAUUCCAUGUGUAGCGGUGAAAUGCGUAGAUAUAUGGAGGAACACCAGUGGCGAAGGCGGCUCUCUGGUCUGUAACUGACGCUGAGGCUCGAAAGGGUGGGGAGCAAACAGG